UGGUGGACCGAUUUGUCUGGUUGAUUCCGUUAACGAACGAGACCCCCGCCUGCCGAUUGAGCGUUCGCUUGUCCCCCAUUGGCAAGGUCGGCGGAUCACGCGGCUCCGGCCGCGAGAACCAGCGCGAUCCUGUCUUCGAUCGUCGCCUCGUGGCAGUAAACAUGUCCGUGCGGGGAUCGAGCAAGCGAACGGACCUUUUCCUCUCUCUCCCUCUCCGGGUGAGGGGGGAACUGUUUGAGGCGAG
RNAcentral lists this ribosomal RNA (244 nucleotides) under uncultured eukaryote. RNAcentral describes it as "partial 18S ribosomal RNA". The record is from RNAcentral.